Perca fluviatilis (European perch) is the source of this 1395-nucleotide long non-coding RNA. RefSeq lists it as uncharacterized. The record is from RefSeq and is a predicted model, not a curated record. NCBI's taxonomy places the organism in Eukaryota, Metazoa, Chordata, Actinopteri, Perciformes, Percidae. The transcript is spliced from 5 exons.
AGAUAGACAGACAGGCAGACAGAAUAAAUGAAUGGGAAAUUGCCUUCGUCAGAAAAUUCCCUCUUUUUAGUUUCACCGUAAUAGCAAGUGUAUACGCGCACCGCGAAAUAUAGGGGUGGCUAGUUUGACCGCUCAUUUUGAAGUGGAGGCUGGCUUGACCGCAGUCGGACAGAGGCUGGAACAACGUAUCAGUGGAAGAUCAGAAAACGUCGGCAGGAGGUGGGAGAGAAGGCAAUGCAGAGAUGAAGGACAUCAUACCACAAUAAUAGUUGUGUGUAUAAGCCUGAUCAACAAGUGAAAAGAGUCAGAUAAGAGGAAAGAGUUUGAAAACUGAUUUGACGACCACUGCUGAAUUGGCCUGCUAAGAGGAAGAGGCACUAGUGAUUCCAGAAGAGGAAGCCAAAGAAGAAGACCUACACAGACUUUGAAAUGGAUCUCUCAAUUGCCAUGAUGACCAAGAUAUUCAACGGGAAAAUGUGGAAAGCUGCCAUAUUCCCAGUCAUUACUUUGCCAAAUCAUCUGUGCAGCACCACUGAGGGACCCUACUUUCCUGAGUACGAAGCCGGCCAUCAAGGAGUUCCCCGACUGGCAACAGACUGGAGCAGAAGCUGUAGCAGGGACAGCAUUUUCUUUUGCUACUGAAAUAAUUUACAUUAUGAUAGAAAGUGGACAAUAUAGUGUGACAAUUAGUUUUUGUUCUCCAACAUGUACACACUGCUGUUGUGAAGCAGUGAUAUACAGCUCUAAGUGUUUGGGUUCAAAUAACAUUACCAUGAUCCCAUAGGCAUCCAAAAAUUGAGAAAGUGACGUUUUUUAAAACUGAAACAAGGUGUUUGACAUCCUGUUGUGUGUGCAAGCCCUUUUUAUUACCACGGGUUUACAGACAGUCUCUAAUAAUUGGGUAUCACCUUGAACACAGCCAAUAAUUGAGAGACACACCCACCAAACGAGAGAAAACAUAACUCAAGCCGUUGCACCGCGUUCCCAGGAAACAUGCGUGCCCCAGCUCUUUGCCUGAGGGGAAGCCCACAGUCUCAGACUUUUAAAAAAAAAACCUGGUUUAAGCUUUUAACCCUUGUGUUGACUUCGGGUCAAAUUGACCUGUUUUCAACUUUUGUUUUAUAUCAGAAAAUAUGGGACGUAGAAAUAAGUGCUGAAAAUGUGUAGAAGAAAAAAAUUUUUUUCAAGGUUGACGGGAAGACAACACAAGGUAAUGUUUUUGUACAUUAGCCCUUAGUAUAGACCACAGUAGGAUAAUUAUCCCCAAAUCUAGCUACAUACAAGAAUAUAUUUUAAUGUGUUACAGUGUGCUAUUUUCUAUAAUGAUUUGAACUUGUGUAAAUUGUCUUUGAGUACCCUGAAAAGCGCUUUAUAAAUAAAAUGUAUUAUAAGUAA